Molecule: ribosomal RNA, 465 nt
Filed under: uncultured Klebsiella sp.
Lineage: Bacteria; Pseudomonadati; Pseudomonadota; Gammaproteobacteria; Enterobacterales; Enterobacteriaceae
Description: bacterial SSU rRNA
Rfam family: Bacterial small subunit ribosomal RNA
Source: RNAcentral
CCUACGGGCGGCUGCAGUGGGGAAUAUUGCACAAUGGGCGCAAGCCUGAUGCAACCAUGCCGCGUGUGUGAAGAAGGCCUUCGGGUUGUAUAGCACUUUCAGCGGGGAGGAAGGCGGUGAGGUUAAUAACCUCAUCGAUUGACGUUACCCGCAGAAGAAGCACCGGCUAACUCCGUGCCAGCAGCCGCGGUAAUACGGAGGGUGCAAGCGUUAAUCGGAAUUACUGGGCGUAAAGCGCACGCAGGCGGUCUGUCAAGUCGGAUGUGAAAUCCCCGGGCUCAACCUGGGAACUGCAUUCGAAACUGGCAGGCUAGAGUCUUGUAGAGGGGGGUAGAAUUCCAGGUGUAGCGGUGAAAGGCGUAGAGAUCUGGAGGAAUACCGGUGGCGAAGGCGGCCCCCUGGACAAAGACUGACGCUCAGGUGCGAAAGCGUGGGGAGCAAACAGGAUUAGAUACCCGGGUAGUC